This 270-nucleotide ribosomal RNA is filed under the name uncultured prokaryote. RNAcentral describes it as "partial 16S ribosomal RNA". It matches the Rfam family "Archaeal small subunit ribosomal RNA", at positions 474 to 743 of the family's 1478-position model. The record is from RNAcentral.
UACUAGCGGUCCAAGUCGCAGCCAUUUUUAUUGGGUCUAAAACAUCCGUAGCUUGCUUGAUAAGUUUCUUGUGAAAUUUGAUGUCUCAAGCAUUAAGCGUGCAAGAAGUACUAUCAAGCUAGAGACUGGUAGACGUAAGAAGUACGUUCGAAGUAAUGGUAAAAUAUGUUAAUCUCGGACGGACUCACAAUAGCGAAGGCAUCUUACGAGGACAGUUCUGACAGUAAGGGAUGAAAGCUAGGGGCGCAAAACGGAUUAGAUACCCUCGUA